RNAcentral lists this ribosomal RNA (371 nucleotides) under uncultured bacterium. RNAcentral's name for it is "bacterial SSU rRNA". It matches the Rfam family "Bacterial small subunit ribosomal RNA", at positions 527 to 896 of the family's 1533-position model. The record is from RNAcentral.
GGGGGGGGUAAGCGUUGUUCGGAAUUACUGGGCGUAAAGGGCUCGUAGCCGGCCAACUAAGUCAGACGUGAAAUCCCUCAGCUUAACUGGGGAACUGCGUCUGAUACUGGAUGGCUUGGAUUCGGGAGAGGGAUGCGGAAUUCCAGGUGUAGCGGUGAAAUGCGUAGAUAUCUGGAGGAACACCGGUGGCGAAGGCGGCAUCCUGGACCGAUAUUGACGCUGAGGAGCGAAAGCCAGGGGAGCAAACGGGAUUAGAUACCCCGGUAGUCCUGGCCCUAAACGAUGAAUGCUUGGUGUAGCGGGUAUCGAUCCCUGCUGUGCCGAAGCUAACGCAUUAAGCAUUCCGCCUGGGGAGUACGGUCGCAAGGCUG